Molecule: ribosomal RNA, 429 nt
Filed under: Actinomycetes bacterium
Lineage: Bacteria; Bacillati; Actinomycetota; Actinomycetes
Description: Actinobacteria bacterium partial 16S ribosomal RNA
Rfam family: Bacterial small subunit ribosomal RNA
Source: RNAcentral
UAGGGAAUCUUCCGCAAUGGGCGAAAGCUUGACGGAGCAACGCCGCGUGAGUGAUGAAGGUCUUCGGAUCGUAAAACUCUGUUAUUAGGGAAGAACAAAUGUGUAAGUAACUAUGCACGUCUUGACGGUACCUAAUCAGAAAGCCACGGCUAACUACGUGCCAGCAGCCGCGGUAAUACGUAGGUGACAAGCGUUAUCCGGAAUUAUUGGGCGUAAAGCGCGCGUAGGCGGUUUUUUAAGUCUGAUGUGAAAGCCAACGGCUACACCGUGGAGGGUCAUUGGAAACUGGAAAACUUGAGUGCAGAAGAGGAAAGUGGAAUUCCAUGUGUAGCGGUGAAAUGCGCAGAGAUAUGGAGGAACACCAGUGGCGAAGGCGACUUUCUGGUCUGUAACUGACGCUGAUGUGCGAAAGCGUGGGGAUCAAACAGG